RNAcentral lists this ribosomal RNA (586 nucleotides) under uncultured Enterococcus sp. RNAcentral describes it as "bacterial SSU rRNA". It matches the Rfam family "Bacterial small subunit ribosomal RNA", at positions 29 to 587 of the family's 1533-position model. The record is from RNAcentral. Lineage: Bacteria; Bacillati; Bacillota; Bacilli; Lactobacillales; Enterococcaceae.
ACGACGCUGGCGGCGUGCCUAAUACAUGCAAGUCGAACGCUUCUUUUUCCACCGGAGCUUGCUCCACCGGAAAAAGAGGAGUGGCGAACGGGUGAGUAACACGUGGGUAACCUGCCCAUCAGAAGGGGAUAACACUUGGAAACAGGUGCUAAUACCGUAUAACAAUCGAAACCGCAUGGUUUUGAUUUGAAAGGCGCUUUCGGGUGUCGCUGAUGGAUGGACCCGCGGUGCAUUAGCUAGUUGGUGAGGUAACGGCUCACCAAGGCCACGAUGCAUAGCCGACCUGAGAGGGUGAUCGGCCACAUUGGGACUGAGACACGGCCCAAACUCCUACGGGAGGCAGCAGUAGGGAAUCUUCGGCAAUGGACGAAAGUCUGACCGAGCAACGCCGCGUGAGUGAAGAAGGUUUUCGGAUCGUAAAACUCUGUUGUUAGAGAAGAACAAGGAUGAGAGUAACUGUUCAUCCCUUGACGGUAUCUAACCAGAAAGCCACGGCUAACUACGUGCCAGCAGCCGCGGUAAUACGUANGUGGCAAGCGUUGUCCGGAUUUAUUGGGCGUAAAGCGAGCGCAGGCGGUUUCUUAAG